Triticum aestivum (bread wheat) is the source of this 1788-nucleotide long non-coding RNA. RefSeq lists it as uncharacterized. The record is from RefSeq and is a predicted model, not a curated record. The transcript is spliced from 3 exons. Lineage: Eukaryota; Viridiplantae; Streptophyta; Magnoliopsida; Poales; Poaceae.
CAGACGCGCAAAGAAAGGAGGGGAAGCAGAAGGGGCGGAGCGCCGCCGGCCAUAUCAACAUUUCGGCGAGCACGGGCACGGGAGGGGCGGCCAAACCAAGAUUUUGGCGACCACGGGAGGGGCGGCGUGUCUCCACUGCCUUCUUUCUAGCCAUACGGGCGGCCCGGCAACUCAAGCAGUCCACGGGCGCCUGGAGCACGAGAGCGGCGGCGACGAGUCCGGCGACAACGGCGCGGCAACUCCGGAAAGAAACCUGAGAGUGGCUUGUGCUGCUUGCUCAACUGACACCAAAGUGGUAAAUUACCUGAAUGGAAGAAGGUGUGGAAGUUAAAAAGUGCACAGAAAGUUUGCAAUUUCUGGUGGAGAGCUCUGCAUAAUUUCAAGGAGGGGAUGGAAGGCUGCUGACGAGCAGGAGAUGGAGCAGAGAAGUUCUUCUAGGCAGACUGGCACGCCUUUGGCUCACAUUUGAAAAGGGCAUGGCAACUCUUUCUCAUUUCUACAUUGGACUACAGUGCCCAAUUCUCUUCACUUACCACGGCUCAGUUUCUCGUGUAGGUUUGGCUCGUGCUCAACUCAACCAGCUGAUGGUGCCAUUGGAUCUGGUAAGGGUAGCACGCAGAGAUCAGGCAGCAAUUUGAGAUGGUUGUUCCAUGGCUGGUUUGGGCUCAAUCAUGAAGAGUUGAAUACCAAUCCUUCCAGUGCGGAUUUAUUUUUCUGCUGAAGAUUACGGCCAUGUUGAUGGAUCAUAUAGAAGGUUCAGUGUGCAGUUUUUAAAUUUGUUCAGCACAAGGGUGCAUCCAUGCACACACAUACAUACUCCCUCUGUACCAAGCUUAAUGCUCACGGAUCUUACAUUUUGGUACAGAGGUACCGUUGCUCAUAUGAAUUACAUUUCUAGUUUUUAUGGUUGCUCCGUCAGAAUACUAAUUCCCGUUUUUCAUCUAAAAUCAGGUGACUGAAGGUCAGAGGUCAGUAAGCGAAGCUCUGGGCUCUGGCUCAAUGAAGAUGGAACAUCGAUAUCUCUCGCUCGCUCAAUGUUGAGGGUGCGUAUAUUGUUGAGAGUACCUUCAUCACUGGGAGAUCCUCAACAUUGCAGGUGCAGAUCAUGCCCAAGGCUGACGAUCCCUUCUCCUGGAGGUGGACUGAGUCCGGGAGUGUUACACGACCAGAACGCUGUACAACGCCCUCUUCUCCAGUAUGGUUCAGGCACCCCCACCCCACCCCUCUGGCAGCAAAAGCUACACUGCUAUCUGCGGCCAACAGGUGCUGCUCGCUGGACUGCAGAUUGCUUGGCUCGCUCGACAUGGCCUACAGCACCCUGACCCUGGUGCUUCCUCCUUGUCCGAACAGUCUGACGAGUCUAUUGUUCACCUGCCGUACAUCAUCAUCCAAGGGAUCAAGGUGUGGUUCAAGGUGCUAAUCGUGUUUGGGGUUUAGUCAAUCAUGCUGCAAGCGCGUGUGGGGUCACGCAGGGCAGGCAGGAAGGUCCCUCAGAACUCAGAAUAUGUUGUUUGCAUAUGACAGAAGGAGUCCUUUUCUUGAAUUCAGAGACUGGUCUUCACUGACCCAGGCAUUGUUCUUCAUUCCUACCUUGUCAUUCAAUCCCUCGGAUCCGUCAAUCCAUCUACUCCCUCCGUCCCAUAAUGUAACAAGGUUUUGGUUACCGAACGAAAUUUUGAGAUUUCCCGUGGUUACCGCGUAUUUCAGUGCCCCUUGGUAAAUCCCCGUACCGAGCAAAAAAUACCAAGUUAGUUGAUUUUUUUUAAUUUAACCGCUCGAUGUAUAGGA